AUUGAACGCUGGCGGCAUGCCUUACACAUGCAAGUCGAACGGUAACGCGGGGCAACCUGGCGACGAGUGGCGAACGGGUGAGUAAUAUAUCGGAACGUGCCCAGUAGUGGGGGAUAGCCCGGCGAAAGCCGGAUUAAUACCGCAUGAGACCUGAGGGUGAAAGCGGGGGAUCGCAAGACCUCGCGCUAUUGGAGCGGCCGAUAUCAGAUUAGGUAGUUGGUGGGGUAAAGGCCUACCAAGCCGACGAUCUGUAGCUGGUCUGAGAGGACGACCAGCCACACUGGGACUGAGACACGGCCCAGACUCCUACGGGAGGCAGCAGUGGGGAAUUUUGGACAAUGGGCGCAAGCCUGAUCCAGCCAUGCCGCGUGCGGGAAG
This 378-nucleotide ribosomal RNA is filed under the name uncultured bacterium. RNAcentral describes it as "bacterial SSU rRNA". It matches the Rfam family "Bacterial small subunit ribosomal RNA", at positions 29 to 410 of the family's 1533-position model. The record is from RNAcentral.